Molecule: small nuclear RNA, 82 nt
Filed under: Neogale vison (American mink)
Lineage: Eukaryota; Metazoa; Chordata; Mammalia; Carnivora; Mustelidae
Description: Neovison vison (American mink) U4 spliceosomal RNA (ENSNVIG00000024288.1)
Rfam family: U4 spliceosomal RNA
About the family: U4 small nuclear RNA (U4 snRNA) is a component of the major U2-dependent spliceosome. The structure of U4 snRNA from yeast and human has been reported. U4 snRNA presents a k-turn RNA motif in the 5p-SL related to recognition of Snu13 protein.
Source: RNAcentral
UGCUUUGCACAGUGGCAGUAUCGUAGCCAAUGAGGUUUAUCCGAGGCGCGAUUAUUGCUAAUUGAAAAGAACACAGUCUGAA